Molecule: long non-coding RNA, 543 nt
Filed under: Cucumis sativus (cucumber)
Lineage: Eukaryota; Viridiplantae; Streptophyta; Magnoliopsida; Cucurbitales; Cucurbitaceae
Description: long non-coding RNA (CSAT_LNC002489)
Source: RNAcentral
UCGGCUCCGUCCAGCGUUCGUCGGGUUAUCAUGAGUGCUCCUCUCUCGACUGACCUCCGGUCAAAGUACAACGUCCGAUCUAUGCCGAUUCGGAAGGAUGACGAGGUCCAAGUCGUCCGUGGAACUUACAAGGGCCGUGAGGGCAAGGUAGUGCAGGUGUAUCGUAGGAAGUGGAUUAUCCACAUCGAGCGCAUCACUCGGGAAAAGGUUAACGGUUCCACUGUCAACGUCGGCAUCAAACCCUCGAAGGUCGUGAUUACGAAGCUCAGGUUGGACAAGGACCGUAAGUCACUUCUGGAUCGUAAAGGCAAGGGCCGCGCCGCCGCCGACAAGGAUAAGGGUACCAAGUUCACCGCCGAGGAUAUCAUGCAGAGCGUCGAUUAAUUUUGAAAAUGGUGAUGUUUAAUUUGAUAGAACUGUUAUUUUCUUUCAUAGUUAUCUAUUGUGUUUUGUGUUCUUAAGAUACUAGGAAAAUUUUCCUCGGACAUGUGGCUAUAAUUGUCGACUCUAGAGGCCUUAAUUUUUAUGGUAUUUUUAAAUCAC